This 164-nucleotide ribosomal RNA is filed under the name uncultured bacterium. Its description in RNAcentral is "partial 16S rRNA". It matches the Rfam family "Bacterial small subunit ribosomal RNA", at positions 355 to 511 of the family's 1533-position model. The record is from RNAcentral.
UAGGGAAUCUUCCACAAUGGACGAAAGUCUGAUGGAGCAACGCCGCGUGAGUGAAGAAGGUUUUCGGAUCGUAAAGCUCUGUUGUUGGUGAAGAAGGAUAGAGGCAGUAACUGGUCUUUAUUUGACGGUAAUCAACCAGAAAGCCACGGCUAACUACGUGCCAG